UGUAAGCGUAUACCAAAGUUGUUGCAGUUAAAACGCUCGUAGUCGGAAUUUGGCAGUUCCGGAUGUGUGCACGUCGUGUGCGCACUUCGCGGGGAUUGCUUUUGUGGUCUUGCGUAGGAUGAGGCACUUUUAUUAGUGAACGUCCUCACGCAACCACUUUUUACUGUGAGAAAAUCAGAGUGCUCAAAGCAGGCAUUUGCCGUGAAUGUAUUAGCAUGGAAUAAUAGAAUAGGACUUGGUUCUAUUUUGUUGGUUUGUUGGUACUGAGUAAUGAUUAAGAGGGACAGUUGGGGGCAUUUGUAUUUCGGUGCUAGAGGUGAAAUUCUUAGAUUACCGAAAGACAAACUGCUGCGAAAGCGUCUGCCAAGGAUGUUUUCAUUGA
RNAcentral lists this ribosomal RNA (382 nucleotides) under uncultured eukaryote. RNAcentral's name for it is "partial 18S ribosomal RNA". It matches the Rfam family "Eukaryotic small subunit ribosomal RNA", at positions 592 to 976 of the family's 1831-position model. The record is from RNAcentral.